RNAcentral lists this ribosomal RNA (445 nucleotides) under uncultured bacterium. RNAcentral describes it as "bacterial SSU rRNA". It matches the Rfam family "Bacterial small subunit ribosomal RNA", at positions 330 to 793 of the family's 1533-position model. The record is from RNAcentral.
ACCAGACUCCUACGGGAGGCAGCAGUGGGGGAUAUUGCACAAUGGGGGGAACCCUGAUGCAGCGACGCCGCGUGAACGAAGAAAUAUUUCGGUAUGUAAAGUUCUCUCAGCAGGGAAGAAAAUGACAGUACCUGACCAAGAAGCCCCGGCUAACUACGUGCCAGCAGCCGCGGUAAUACGUAGGGGGUGAGCGUUAUCCGGAUUCAUUGGGCGUAAAGCGCGCGUAGGCGGCCUGUUAGGUCGGGGGUCAAAUACCGGGGCUCAACCCCGGUCCGCCCCCGAUACCGGCAGGCUUGAGUCUGGUAGGGGAAGGCGGAAUUCCCAGUGUAGCGGUGGAAUGCGCAGAUAUUGGGAGGAACACCAGUGGCGAAGGCGGCUUACUGGACUGUAACUGACGUUGAGGCUCGAAAGCGUGGGGAGCAAACAGGAUUAGAUACCCGUAUAA